GAGUUUGAUCCUGGCUCAGGAUGAACGCUGGCGGCGUGCCUAAUACAUGCAAGUCGAGCGAACAGAUAAGGAGCUUGCUCCUUUGACGUUAGCGGCGGACGGGUGAGUAACACGUGGGUAACCUACCUAUAAGACUGGAAUAACUCCGGGAAACCGGGGCUAAUGCCGGAUAAUAUUUAGAACCGCAUGGUUCUAAAGUGAAAGAUGGUUUUACUAUCACUUAUAGAUGGACCCGCGCCGUAUUAGCUAGUUGGUGGGGUAAUGGCUUACCAAGGCAACGAUACGUAGCCGACCUGAGAGGGUGAUCGGCCACACUGGAACUGAGACACGGUCCAGACUCCUACGGGAGGCAGCAGUAGGGAAUCUUCCGCAAUGGGCGAAAGCCUGACGGAGCAACGCCGCGUGAGUGAUGAAGGUCUUCGGAUCGUAAAACUCUGUUAUUAGGGAAGAACAAAUGUGUAAGUAACUGUGCACGCCUUGACGGUACCUAAUCAGAAAGCCACGGCUAACUACGUGCCAGCAGCCGCGGUAAUACGUAGGUGGCAAGCG
RNAcentral lists this ribosomal RNA (549 nucleotides) under uncultured bacterium. Its description in RNAcentral is "bacterial SSU rRNA". It matches the Rfam family "Bacterial small subunit ribosomal RNA", at positions 9 to 540 of the family's 1533-position model. The record is from RNAcentral.